UGGUCACAUAAUGUUUGUAUCACCCAUCUGAAGCAGAAAUGUGAUAUUCUGAUGGCUA
Molecule: small nucleolar RNA, 58 nt
Filed under: Oryza punctata
Lineage: Eukaryota; Viridiplantae; Streptophyta; Magnoliopsida; Poales; Poaceae
Description: snoRNA snoZ185
Rfam family: Small nucleolar RNA Z185
About the family: Z185 is a member of the C/D class of snoRNA which contain the C (UGAUGA) and D (CUGA) box motifs. Most of the members of the box C/D family function in directing site-specific 2'-O-methylation of substrate RNAs.
Source: Rfam by way of RNAcentral